GCUUCUUGUUUUUCUUGGUAAUGUUUAAGAUAUACUAGAACAUAUAUCUUAACUUUCUUGAUUGAGAAAAACAAGAUAUUUUUGGGGGUUCAUGGCACCUAGAGAUAGUUGCAAGAUAUAACAUUUAUAAUAUAGUUGAAUAGUAUGGUAACCUUUCUUUUGAAAUUUCUGUUGGUGACCAAGCUAUGUUUAUUUCAAAGUUAUGUUUUGCUUUCCUCAAAUCAAAACCCAUUUGGUGUCUUUGUUAAGAAUUAGUCUUGGUAACAAGAAAAUAUUUCUUGAUUUUCUAGCAUAUCUUGUCAUGUGACUUUUUCUGAACUCCUGAUUGGUUUAUUUGUAUCUCAGAGUACUGUUGGGCUACCCCAGGUGGUCCAUCUCUAUUUUGAACAGUUAUAAGAAAAUAUUUCUUAACAUUUCUUGUUUUUCUAGCCUCUCUGGUCAUGUGACUUUUUCUGAACCCCUGAUUGGUUGAUCUGUAUCCCAGAGUACAGUUGGGCUACUCCAUCUCCAUUUUGAACAGAGUGACAGUUGCAGCAGCUCAGUUCACUACUCUUUGUAUCAGUUGAUGACUCGUGCCAGUUUUACAGCCAAAAGUAAGGUAAAAGGGACCAUGAUCAUGUGAGGCACUGGUGACUGGGUUCAAUUUGCUAAAAAUCAACAACUAUGCAGCGGAAACAGCUGGGAACAAGAUAUGAAGGAUAAAGUGUCUGGAGGUUUUGACCAUACCAAAUGUCAAGAAUGAAAAGUUCACUGCAAGGGUUUGCUCUGUUUUGGAAUGUGAUACUCUGAAACCAUAUGGAAUAGUUAUAUCUAAGUUUAUAGAUUAUGGCCUUAGCAUAUUCCGCUACAAAAUAGCUACACUGCCAUUUAAGUAAUGCAAUAAUAUUGCUGUAAAUGCUUCUUUGAGAAGGGUAAUGAAUUUGAGAUUUUUCUUCUUGUACGUAUAUCAAGAUAAAUAAUUGGCAAUUUGAAUGUAAAGGAAUUAAUAUGCUCCUUGGGUAUUGGUUAUAUAUUAUUAUAAUACUAUAGGAAAUUCUACCAUAAUUAUUGAUGUUUGUCUGGUACUGUCAUCGUAAAAGUAUUUCCAUUCAAAGACUGUUACUAUUGUGAUCAUACUUCAUAAGUCUUAUGUAAGAAUGUGGUAAUAAACAUUCCUAUACUAUACACAUAAGUUGUUGAGAUUUCUUCCUCUAACAUUUUUGUAGUUGCUAUUAACUAUUUAGUGAUUUUCUGUUUUUAAGUAUUUGACAGCAGGAAUGAUUGUUCAAGAAAGUGAAUCUCAAUGCAAGAGACAAUUUCUUGGUGUGUCUUUAGGAAGGAAGAAAUUCUUGAACCAGAAGCUGAUUCUUGGUGCAAGUAAAAUAUUCCUGGUGCAAGAUUUCCAGACUUGUACAGAGAAUCACUGUCUAAGAGUAAGAGUAUCAGUCUUAAGAUUAGAAAGGAAUUCUUGAGCAAGAUCCUGAAUCUUAGCACAAGACGCAUAUUCUGUUAACUGGUAACUUAGUUCUUUAGGACAGAAAGGUUUCCUUGCUUCCAAAUAACUUUCAAGAAACUGAUUCUAGGUUUGACCUGCUACCAGAAUCUUAAUCUUUGUACAAGAUAAUAUAUAUUUGGUUUAAGACAUCUAUUCUUAAGGACGGAAGGUUAUUCUUGUUGAAAGAAU
Branchiostoma floridae (Florida lancelet) is the source of this 1663-nucleotide long non-coding RNA. RefSeq lists it as uncharacterized. The transcript has 2 exons. Lineage: Eukaryota; Metazoa; Chordata; Leptocardii; Amphioxiformes; Branchiostomatidae. The record is from RefSeq and is a predicted model, not a curated record.